AGCGAACGCUGGCGGCAGGCCUAACACAUGCAAGUCGAACGAACCUUUCGGGGUUAGUGGCGGACGGGUGAGUAACACGUGGGAACGUGCCUUUAGGUUCGGAAUAACUCAGGGAAACUUGUGCUAAUACCGAAUGUGCCCUUCGGGGGAAAGAUUUAUCGCCUUUAGAGCGGCCCGCGUCUGAUUAGCUAGUUGGUUAAGGUAAUGGCUCACCAAGGCGACGAUCAGUAGCUGGUCUGAGAGGAUGAACAGCCACAUUGGGACUGAGACACGGCCCAAACUCCUACGGGAGGCAGCAGUGGGGAAUCUUGCGCAAUGGGCGAAAGCCUGACGCAGCCAUGCCGCGUGAAUGAUGAAGGUCUUAGGAUUGUAAAAUUCUUUCACCGGGGACGAUAAUGACGGUACCCGGAGAAGAAGCCCCGGCUAACUUCGUG
This 434-nucleotide ribosomal RNA is filed under the name uncultured bacterium. RNAcentral's name for it is "partial 16S ribosomal RNA". It matches the Rfam family "Bacterial small subunit ribosomal RNA", at positions 29 to 507 of the family's 1533-position model. The record is from RNAcentral.